GGUCCUCUCCAUUAGCCAAAGCGAUGCCCCUAUAGACACGUGCAGCCCCAUCGAGGCUCCAUCCCAUGCCCCCAUCAUUGCCCCAUAAGGAGCAAUUGAUACAGGCAAUGCUGCAGGUCCGGCCAUACAACCCAAUGCAGACCCCCCCUGAGCUAUGCAUAGAGCAGCUGCAUCAUGGCUGGGAUGGUGGUGAUUCAGCAGACGUCACUUGGAGUUUGGCUGCUGGUACAUGGACGGACCCCCACCAUCCAUCAGAGGGUCCUUUGUGGGUGGGGGGGGUUGAUAGAGCAGCAGACCCAUGGCUAAAGGCUGAGCUGAGCACGGUGCUGGGGGCUUCUGAGCUUCUGAGGGGUCCAGGAGCUGCUUGGAGGCCAAAAGAAAAGGGUGGGCACAGAGCAAUGGGGCAGGGAGGGGGGCUGCGCCAUCAAUGGGGCCUGGAGAUAAUCCCAAGCAUCAGCUGUGGCUCUGCUCAUGCUCCCAGAUUGCUGCAAAGUGCUUUGAAGUGCAAAUGAAGGUUUUUAGCAUCAGGUUGGAAGUUAAUUUGGACGAAGAGAAAACAAACAGCUCAACCCCAUGUGUGUGUGUGUGUGUACAGGAGGAGGAGGUGGGGGUUGCAGGGAUGCAACCCAGGGCCUCCAACCCCAACCUGGGUGUCGGGAUGGGGCCGAGCAAUCCCCUCUCCCUUUGCUUUCCAUGUUAGCACAGGAACACGAACCUCAAUUUACGCUGCCAGCCACAUCCACGCUGGGAGAAGCGCUAUUUUAAGCAGUGAGGUUAGAGCAGUGCAGAUAGAGAACCUAAUCGCCCUGCCACGGCCGCUGACAGCGGAAAGCAGAGGAUCGUUUUCCACUCGGUUGAUCUGUGCCUGCUGCAGAGCAAUGCUGGCGUGGAAGCAGAGCACGGAGCUCUAUCUAUUUGCUUUGCCCAGCUCAGUGCUGGGAUCAAACCCUCAAUGGUGGCACCAUAAAUGUGAUGCCCGGGGGUGGCUCAGGAGCUGCAUUGGAUGGUUCCAAGCUGAUCUAUGGCUCCAGGUGUAGGGGUUGCAUUCAUGCAUGCAGCAAGCCACUGCAGCGCUGGGUGUCCAUCAGUGCAGCUCCAUAGUGUCCAUACUGUCUCUAUUGGGGGCAGGUGAUGAGGACAGAGCCCCCCAUGUCCCUCCCAGCCCUGUUUUAGCUGUAGGUUCCUACAGCUGUUUGUCCCGUCCUUGCAGAGCAGGGCCCAAGUUGUACAGCAUGGCUGCUUCCCAUUGAACUCUAUGGCAGGAAGCCGCUCCUCAGCAGCUGCCGGCAGCACCGUUUCCUCCCAUGUCCCUGACACGAGGAAAUUCACCACUGGAAAAUGAAAGAACAUCCAGCCCAGGACCCAUGGCUGACCCUACAAGGCUUAACUAGGCCUAACUGAGGCCUAGUCCUGAGGCCUAGUCCAGCCCUGAGGCCUAGUCCAGCCCUGAGGCCUAACCCAGGUCCCCUGAGGCCUAAGGCCCAGCUCCAAGGCCCAGCUCCCUCCAUUGAGGCCCAGGCUCACCCUAUAGCCCAGGCCCUGUCCCCAAAGCCCACAUUGCGGCCUGUCCCCAAGGCCUAACCCCACACUGAAGCCCAGCUCCAUCCCAAAGCCCAGGUCAUAUCCCUGAGGCCUACCCUGCAGUCCCGCACCGAGGCCUAGUCCUGCACUAAGGCCCAGCCCCACAGCAAGGCCCAGUCCCGCAGCCCCCAGCCCCAAGGCCCACACAGAGGCCUAGCUGGGCCCAUCAUGGCCACGUCCCCAUCCCCACCUCCUGUCCCCAGCACACACAGCAGCUGACACAGCUCCAUCAGACGGAAGCGGCCGCACACCCACACGUCUCAGAGCUCCGCGGGGGCUGCGGCUGCUGGUGGGGGGGAGGGAGGCAACAGCUCCAUAAGAAGUGUUGGAAACAACAACGGAGAGGCUUUUCUUUAGCAAAGUAAAUCAAUCAGCCCUACCCCUUCGUUAGGAGAUGGGUCCUUGGCUUGUCUGAAGGCGGACGGGAGUCAAAGAGCUGAGAAAUGGAUGGAAUGAAGGCAACGCCGGAGCCAAAGAGCUGCUAUGAGUGAGAAACAGAAUAAAGGAAAUCAUCCCACCCCACUUCAAGAAAUGAAAUAAAAAGAAAAGGCAUUUACUCGAGCUUGCGGCCCAGGCCUCUCGCUGCCCGUACUUGGGAGCUCCUCCUCACCUCAGCACCUGGGAGCUCGGAUCAGGUUUGUACACUGGUUCAAAGUCGGCACUUGGACUUCAUUAUCUGAACCCAGCACUGAAAGGCACAUAUCUGAUACCCUGUACAAGAGCUAGCGUGGAUGCAGACGCCGACGGGUCCGAGGAUCAGACUGGGAAGAGGAAACUGGGGGGGGGAAUAACACAAAUUGCCACCUGCUUGCUGCAAAGAAAACACCAUCAGCUAAAGAUUUCCUGACUCCUUCCUCCCAUAAAGAGGUUUUUGAAAUGCCCGCGUUCAAACUGCAGAUUCCAAUGGUGGCAGCAUCAAUAGCUGCCCUUCAAUACAACUGAAAUGAGCAACACUCACACCCUUUCACCUCCAUUCCUCUGGGCUUAUUGCUGAGGGUUUGGGAUAAACAAGGUUUGAUUCCUCAAAACCCUCAUUGAAAUGAGAUUCUGAUCCUCGACGUGGCAAUAAGACAUUGUGCGAUCAGGGGAGCAGUGAGCAGCCAAUUGGUUUGGGAGUCACCCCAUCAGUCUGUAACUACUCGGGUUCCCCUUUAGAAAACUGGAAAGACCAAGAAUACGAAAAGGAAGUUUUGGGGAAUGUUUGACACCAUUUUUAUUCAUCUUUCAAACUGCAGUGGAAAAAUAGAACCUUUUACAAGUGCCGUCUUUGUGUAAGCUCAAGUCAGUAUAUAUAUAUCUUAUAUAAAUUUAUUUCUUCCUUAUUUUUUUUUUUUUGUUGUUAUUGUUGUUUUUUCAAGUGCAGCAAAGAGACCAAAACCACGUCGGAUUGGAUUAAAUAAAGAGCACAAAAGGCCGAGCAGUUUCCAAAUGGCAUUUUUAUCAGGAUUUACGUCUGAACAUUGAAUUUAUCCUCAUCUCUUUUUGUUUUUUUUUGCAAUCCAAAAUAAUACCUGAAAGUUUUAUUUUUUUUUGUUUUUUUCAACUCUUUGGCACAAUUUUCCUGGCUGUUUUUGGGGGGCUGCUACAGUACAAAGUCAAGAGAGCUCUUUCCCUUUGCGUUCUCACUGCCAAUUCAGAGCAACUCGAUGCCUGGCUUUGAGUCGUGAGCCUGAAAUCUUGUUUGACCAUUAAUUCUAGACCCUCUAUACCCAAGAGUUGGAGUUGGUUUGGUUUUAUCCCCCUCCCUCCCCCCCCCUCCCCACCAUUUCUACAUUCACAGUUGAACAACAUUAAGGAAGGAAAGGCGCUUUGAUGAAAGGAGACCAUGAAAAGCAUCACUGGGGAUGGGAGCUCUGAACAUUCGUCAGUGUUUCCCCAAAAUAAAAAGCCCUAAAAGGAGCGACUUUCCUUUUUUUUUUGUUUGUUUUUUUUUCCUUUUUUUUUUAAUCUUUUUUUUUUUCCCCUUUUUAAUACAUCUCUUACGCUGCAUCAGUAGACUGAAAGAAAAACAAAAACUUCGGUUAGUUUAUGAAAUGCAACAGCGAACCCCAUGUUUGCUCGUGGGAAAAGAAAAAAAAAAGAU
Molecule: non-coding RNA, 3664 nt
Organism: Coturnix japonica (Japanese quail)
Lineage: Eukaryota; Metazoa; Chordata; Aves; Galliformes; Phasianidae
Source: RefSeq, a predicted model, not a curated record